GUAGACUUCUUCGGAAGGACACUAAGCGGAUUAGUGGCGAACGGGUGAGUAACGCGUGAGUAACCUGCCUUACACAAGGGGAUAGCCUUUGGAAACGAAGAAUAAUACCCUAUAAAACCAUAAAAGCACACGCUAGAAUGGUCAAAGUGAUAGCGGUGUAAGAUGGACUUGCGUCUGAUUAGCUAGUUGGUGAGAUAAAAGCUCACCAAGGCAACGAUCAGUAGCCGGCUUGAGAGAGUGUACGGCCACAUUGGGACUGAGACACGGCCCAGACUCCUACGGGAGGCAGCAGUGGGGAAUUUUGCACAAUGGGGGAAACCCUGAUGCAGCGACGCCGCGUGAUUUAGAAGGCCUUCGGGUUGUAAAAAUCUUUUGUAUAGGAAGAAAAUGACAGUACUAUACGAAUAAGGUCCGGCUAAUUACGUGCCAGCAGCCGCGGUAAUACGUAAGGACCGAGCGUUGUCCGGAAUCAUUGGGCGUAAAGGGUACGUAGGCGGCUAGAAAAGUUAGAAGUCAAAGGCUAUAGCUCAACUAUAGUAAGCUUCUAAAACUAUUUAGCUUGAGAAAUGGAAGGGAAAGUGGACUUCCUAGUGUAGCGGUGGAAUGCGCAGAUAUUAGGAAGAAUAUCGGUGGCGAAGGCGACUUUCUGGCCAUUAUCUGA
This 661-nucleotide ribosomal RNA is filed under the name uncultured Eubacteriales bacterium. RNAcentral describes it as "bacterial SSU rRNA". It matches the Rfam family "Bacterial small subunit ribosomal RNA", at positions 69 to 743 of the family's 1533-position model. The record is from RNAcentral. Lineage: Bacteria; Bacillati; Bacillota; Clostridia; Eubacteriales.